UUGUUAUUAAUAGAAAACAAUACAAAAUAUACGGAAAGAGAGUAGUAAGUAGAAGAAGCAGCUGCUGCCCUUUUGUCUCUUAUUGUGGAAUGCUAUUGCUGAGCCUAAAUAGAAAUGGCUUCCUCUGCAUCAGCUUUGUAAUCACUAAUCAGUAGUUACUGCUUUUAAUCCUUUUAUUCAAUUUCAUCUCACCAUUUGAUUCGUGGAUU
RNAcentral lists this unclassified non-coding RNA (209 nucleotides) under Hevea brasiliensis (rubber tree). The record is from RNAcentral. Lineage: Eukaryota; Viridiplantae; Streptophyta; Magnoliopsida; Malpighiales; Euphorbiaceae.